Poecile atricapillus (Black-capped chickadee) is the source of this 2775-nucleotide long non-coding RNA. RefSeq lists it as uncharacterized. The record is from RefSeq and is a predicted model, not a curated record. The transcript is spliced from 5 exons. NCBI's taxonomy places the organism in Eukaryota, Metazoa, Chordata, Aves, Passeriformes, Paridae.
UUCAUCGUGACGCAAAAGGGAACCGCUGCGGCAGCUUUCCUUAGCAGCAGAUCGGUCUCUCCGAUGGAUUCGCUUUGGAGAGAUAAGUCGAGGGCUGUGGUCACAGAGGGGAUCGAAGCAGGGUAGUGGGUUAGGAUUCACACCGGUUAGGGUUUUGAGUCAGCUAUGGGGAGGGGGAGGUUUGAGAACUGGCCUCUGGGGCUACCGUGAGGGAAAGGCUCACUUUGGCUAACAAUGCUGAGGCGGGCAGGGCAGAGCAGUCCCAAGGUGUGUUGUCACUUGUCUGUCGUGCUUUCUGUGUCUUCCGUUCAUCUCGUGUAACAUGUCUCUUGCCUUAGUCCUCCCAGGAGCUUAUGAGAAACCCCAGGUCCUUCCGGUCAUCUCCCAUCUUUGCGUUCCUCGGCCCGGGGCCGACGCCGGCGAAGUUUCGAUUCGGGAGGUCAGACAGGCGUCAGAAUCGCAUCUCUCUUCAGCAGCAUCCGAUCGGAUGUCUUUUUAGGUCUUGUUCUCAGCUGUGUUGACAGCUGUAUGCAGUAAUCUUUCUUUACAGUGGAUAAGGACUUGUGCCGAUUCAAAGGCAGGCAGAGGCUUCCAGCCACAGGAUUCUCAGGCAUCCGUCUCCGCGGUUCUCGGAAUAAGUCGUUCCGUUAGCAUCUUUUUCCCCCGGGGUCAUCCGAGCCCGGCGGGCUCGCCUUCGGUCCCAUCUCGGUCAUCUCGUUCAGCAUUUUCUUGGUCCUCGUGAGGACUUUCUCGUCUCAGAGAGUUUUCUCUCCCUGUCGUGUCCCCUCGUCUCACGUGUCACGGGUGUCUGGGGGUAUUGGGUCCGGAACUGCUCUGCCCUGCCGCCCGGCCCCGUUGCAGGUGUUCAAGGACAAGUCCCGGGCACUUGUAAGUGGAGACUUGUAAUACGGGCUGUAGUUGGAGUCUAGGUAGUAUUCUUAUGUUGGCAGAAGGUGUCUGGAGCUGUGAAGUUACCCUGCAGCACUUUGACUUUUUUCCUAACUUUCUUUCAGAUGCGGAUGGAUCGACCUCCCGGCAGAGCGCCUCGUCCCAGAUGAGGGGAUCCCCCCGAGAAGGAAGUAAAGCCGGAUAGCAGCAGUGAAGGCGAAGCAUUGUGAAGGUGGUCUACUUGCAAGAUAUCCCAGCCCAGGAUGCCAGAGGACAGGUUCCGUGCAGAGAGGCAGAGCCGAAGUUCGCGAUCGGCCGCACCGAAGCCGGCGUGGGGGACGUCUCGACGUACGCAUCCUAUCGAGGAUGGGUCUUGUCCUAUUACGUUACAAAAGGUCUCUGAUGCCUAUUUUCUGAGGAUCUACCAUUUGAUGUUGAGAAGCAGCAGCGAGAAGAUGUCUCGGGGCAUUUUGUUCAGCACAGUGUUUCAAAUAAGGGUUGCGGUCACUGUGUGAGUUAGAGUCUCCUGCUGUGUGUCAGGGCGUGUCUGUCUGUGAGAGUCGGUGGGUCUGGGUGUGCUUGUGUGUGUGCGUGUUGUGCGGUUCUAACCUUGUGUGUAUUGCUUUUGCUUUUCAGGACUUUAAAUUCACUUUUAAAUUUAGAAUAAAAAAUCCCCAGCUGGGGGGUUUUUUUUUUCCCUCCCAGCUGGGGUUUUUUUUCCUCGGUCCCGGCCGGUCUGCGAGGCGACAGUCAUCGCCUAAGUUUGGGCACGGACCGGCCCCGGACCGGGGUUUUCGUCAGGCAGGCUGAUUUUUGAGGCCCCUGGGAACUGUGUUCCCGUGGGGUAGGAGGGGGGUGUGUGUGUGUGCUUGUGUGUGUGCGUGUUGUGCGGUUCUAACCUUGUGUGUAUUGCUUUUGCUUUUCAGGACUUUAAAUUCACUUUUAAAUUUAGAAUAAAAAAUCCCCAGCUGGGGGGGUUUUUUUUUUUUCCCUCCCAGCUGGGGUUUUUUUUCCUCGGUCCCGGCCGGUCUGCGAGGCGACAGUCAUCGCCUAAGUUUGGGCACGGACCGGCCCCGGACCGGGGUUUUCGUCAGGCAGGGUGAUUUCGAGGCCCCCGGGAACCAAGUUCCCGUGGGGUAGGAGGGGUGUGUGUUGUGGGGUUCUAACCUUGUGUGUAUUGCUUUUCAGGACUUUAAAUUCACUUUUAAAUUUAGAAUAAAAAAUCCCCAGCUGGGGGGGUUUUUUUUUUUCCCUCCCAGCUGGGGUUUUUUUUCCUCGGUCCCGGCCGGUCUGCGAGGCGACAGUCAUCGCCUAAGUUUGGGCACGGACCGGCCCCGGACCGGGGUUUUCGUCAGGCAGGGUGAUUUCGAGGCCCCUGGGAACCGAGUUCCCGUGGGGUAGGAGGGGCGGGUGUGUGUUGUGGGGUUCUAACCUUGUGUGUAUUGCUUUUCAGGACUUUAAAUUCACUUUUAAAUUUAGAAUAAAAAAUCCCCAGCUGGGGGGGUUUUUUUUUUUUCCCUCCCAGCUGGGGUUUUUUUUCCUCGGUCCCGGCCGGUCUGCGAGGCGACAGUCAUCGCCUAAGUUUGGGCACGGACCGGCCCCGGACCGGGGUUUUCGUCAGGCAGGCCGAUUUCGAGGCUCCCGGGAACCACGUUCCCGAGGACCGCCGAUGGCAGGGUUAUAACGGGGCGGUUGAGAGGAGAGCGAAGGUGAGCGUGUGUGUGAGCAGAAGCCGGCUUCUGUGGCGAAUGAGUAUUGUGUUUUCUGCGUGCUCGUUGUGGUUUGGGGGAGCAGUAAUAAUGAAACAGCAUGUAUUGUCCUUUUCAGAAAUGGUUAUAUUACGUUAAUAUGUAUUUGGCUUGUACUGUUCUGUAUUUGCUGCUGUGU